GAUGAACGCUGGCGGCGUGCCUAAUACAUGCAAGUCGAGCGAACAGACGAGGAGCUUGCUCCUCUGACGUUAGCGGCGGACGGGUGAGUAACACGUGGAUAACCUACCUAUAAGACUGGGAUAACUUCGGGAAACCGGAGCUAAUACCGGAUAAUAUAUUGAACCGCAUGGUUCAAUAGUGAAAGACGGUUUUGCUGUCACUUAUAGAUGGAUCCGCGCCGCAUUAGCUAGUUGGUAAGGUAACGGCUUACCAAGGCAACGAUGCGUAGCCGACCUGAGAGGGUGAUCGGCCACACUGGAACUGAGACACGGUCCAGACUCCUACGGGAGGCAGCAGUAGGAAAUCUUCCGCAAUGGGCGAAAGCCUGACGGAGCAACGCCGCGUGAGUGAUGAAGGUCUUCGGAUCGUAAAACUCUGUUAUUAGGGAAGAACAAAUGUGUAAGUAACUAUGCACGUCCUGACGGUACCUAAUCAGAAAGCCACGGCUAACUACGUG
RNAcentral lists this ribosomal RNA (497 nucleotides) under uncultured bacterium. Its description in RNAcentral is "partial 16S ribosomal RNA". It matches the Rfam family "Bacterial small subunit ribosomal RNA", at positions 28 to 507 of the family's 1533-position model. The record is from RNAcentral.